AUCGCUUCUUGGCCUUUUGGCUAAGAUCAAGGGUAGUAUCUGUUUUUAUGAGUUUAAUAUCCUAUAUGUUCUUUAUCCGAGGACAAUAUAUUACAUGGAUUUUUGGAGCAGGGAGAUGGAGUAGGAGCUCGCUCUGUCCACUCCAUGCAUCGACCCAGCAUUGCAGUACCUCCGGGAACAGUGCACAAAAA
Small nuclear RNA from Molossus molossus (Pallas's mastiff bat), 191 nucleotides. RefSeq annotates it as U2 spliceosomal RNA. The transcript has a single exon. NCBI's taxonomy places the organism in Eukaryota, Metazoa, Chordata, Mammalia, Chiroptera, Molossidae. The record is from RefSeq and is a predicted model, not a curated record.